Molecule: ribosomal RNA, 653 nt
Filed under: uncultured Acetobacterium sp.
Lineage: Bacteria; Bacillati; Bacillota; Clostridia; Eubacteriales; Eubacteriaceae
Description: bacterial SSU rRNA
Rfam family: Bacterial small subunit ribosomal RNA
Source: RNAcentral
ACGAGACGGGAUGGAAUGACCCUUCGGGGGAAUGAAAUCCUAGAAAGUGGCGAACGGGUGAGUAACGCGUGGGUAACCUGCCCUAUGGAAAGGAAUAGCCUCGGGAAACUGGGAGUAAUGCCUUAUAAUAUACGAGAGUCGCAUGGCUUUUGUAUUAAACGCUCCGGUGCCAUAGGAUGGACCCGCGUCCCAUUAGCUAGUUGGUGAGAUAACAGCCCACCAAGGCAACGAUGGGUAACCGGUCUGAGAGGGCGAACGGUCACACUGGAACUGAUACACGGUCCAGACUCCUACGGGAGGCAGCAGUGGGGAAUAUUGCGCAAUGGGGGCAACCCUGACGCAGCAAUACCGCGUGAGUGAAGAAGGUUUUCGGAUCGUAAAGCUCUGUUAUUGGGGAAGAAAAAAGACGGUACCCAAGAAGAAAGUCCCGGCUAACUACGUGCCAGCAGCCGCGGUAAUACGUAGGGGACAAGCGUUGUCCGGAUUUACUGGGCGUAAAGGGCACGCAGGCGGUUUUUUAAGUCAGAUGUGAAAGGUACCGGCUCAACCGGUGACAUGCAUUUGAAACUGAAAGACUUGAGUAUUGGAGAGGCAAGUGGAAUUCCUAGUGUAGCGGUGAAAUGCGUAGAUAUUAGGAGGAACACCGGUGGCGA